RNAcentral lists this signal recognition particle RNA (265 nucleotides) under Carlito syrichta (Philippine tarsier). RNAcentral describes it as "Metazoan signal recognition particle RNA (ENSTSYG00000030302.1)". It matches the Rfam family "Metazoan signal recognition particle RNA", at positions 1 to 265 of the family's 299-position model. From Rfam's summary of the family: The signal recognition particle (SRP) is a universally conserved ribonucleoprotein. It is involved in the co-translational targeting of proteins to membranes. The record is from Rfam by way of RNAcentral. Lineage: Eukaryota; Metazoa; Chordata; Mammalia; Primates; Tarsiidae.
GCUGGGUGUGGUGGCGCAUGCCUGUAGUCCCAGCUACCGGGGAGGCUGAGGCUGGAGGAUCGCUUGAGUCCAGGAGUUCUGGACUGCUGUGCGCUAUGCCGAUCGGGUGUCCGCACUAAGUUCGGCAUCAAUAUGGUGACCUCCCGGGAGCGGGGGACCACCAGGUUGCCUAAGGAGGGGUGAACUGGCCCAGGUCGGAAACGGAGCAGGUCAAAACUCCCAUGCUAGCCGGGCUUGGUGGCUCAGCCUGUAAUCCCGCGCCUUU